This 253-nucleotide ribosomal RNA is filed under the name uncultured bacterium. RNAcentral's name for it is "partial 16S ribosomal RNA". It matches the Rfam family "Bacterial small subunit ribosomal RNA", at positions 524 to 776 of the family's 1533-position model. The record is from RNAcentral.
UACGUAGGGUGCAAGCGUUGUCCGGAAUUAUUGGGCGUAAAGGGCUCGUAGGCGGUCCAUCACGUCGGGAGUGAAAAGCUGGGGCUUAACCCCAGUCCUGCUUCCGAUACGGGUGGACUAGAGGUAGGCAGGGGAGAACGGAAUUCCUGGUGUAGCGGUGAAAUGCGCAGAUAUCAGGAGGAACACCGGUGGCGAAGGCGGGUUGCUGGGCUGAUACUGACGCUGAGGCGCGAAAGCCAGGGGAGCGAACGGG